RNAcentral lists this ribosomal RNA (500 nucleotides) under uncultured bacterium. Its description in RNAcentral is "partial 16S ribosomal RNA". It matches the Rfam family "Bacterial small subunit ribosomal RNA", at positions 30 to 523 of the family's 1533-position model. The record is from RNAcentral.
AUUGAACGCUGGCGGAAUGCUUUACACAUGCAAGUCGAACGGCAGCACGGACUUCGGUCUGGUGGCGAGUGGCGAACGGGUGAGUAAUGUAUCGGAACGUGCCCAGUCGUGGGGGAUAACGUAGUGAAAAUUACGCUAAUACCGCAUACGAUCUAUGGAUGAAAGCGGGGGAUCGCAAGACCUCGCGCGAUUGGAGCGGCCGAUAUCAGAUUAGGUAGUUGGUGGGGUAAAGGCCCACCAAGCCAACGAUCUGUAGCUGGUCUGAGAGGACGACCAGCCACACUGGAACUGAGACACGGUCCAGACCCCUACGGGAGGCAGCAGUGGGGAAUUUUGGACAAUGGGCGAAAGCCUGAUCCAGCCAUUCCGCGUGCAGGAUGAAGGCCCUCGGGUUGUAACCUGCUUUUGUACAGAACGAAAAGGUUUCUACUAAUACUAGGAGCUCAUGACGGUACUGUAAGAAUAAGCACCGGCUAACUACGUGCCAGCAGCCGCAGUAA